UUUCUACUGAACAAAGAAUCUCCAACCAAAUUCGGAGAUCAGUCUCUCCAGUACCCAGUCAUCUGUCCAUGAAGAGUGACUUCUCUAUGCAUCAUCCUAUAGAUUUUAGUGAUGGACCAGUGACCUUUGACCCUAGAAUCUCCAACCAAACUUCUGAGAUCAGUCUCUCCAGUACC
Long non-coding RNA from Coregonus clupeaformis (lake whitefish), 176 nucleotides. RefSeq lists it as uncharacterized. Lineage: Eukaryota; Metazoa; Chordata; Actinopteri; Salmoniformes; Salmonidae. The record is from RefSeq and is a predicted model, not a curated record. The transcript is spliced from 3 exons.